GUAAGGAAUAUUGGACAAUGGGGGAAACCCUGAUCCAGCCAUGCCGCGUGAGUGAAGAAGGCCUUCGGGUUGUAAAACUCUUUCAGAUGUGAAGAUGAUGACGGUAACAUCAGAAGAAGCUCCGGCUAACUUCGUGCCAGCAGCCGCGGUAAUACGAAGGGAGCGAGCGUUGUUCGGAAUCACUGGGCGUAAAGAGUGCGUAGGCGGUUAUACAAGUCAGGAGUGAAAUCCCAGAGCUUAACUUUGGAAUUGCUUUUGAAACUGUAUAGCUAGAGUCCCGGAGGGGUUAAUGGAAUUCCGAGUGUAGAGGUGAAAUUCGCAGAUAUUCGGAGGAACACCAGUGGCGAAGGCGAUUAACUGGACGGGCACUGACGCUGAGGCACGAAAGCGUGGGGAUCAAACAGGAUUAGAUACCCUUGUAGUCC
Molecule: ribosomal RNA, 425 nt
Filed under: uncultured bacterium
Lineage: Bacteria
Description: bacterial SSU rRNA
Rfam family: Bacterial small subunit ribosomal RNA
Source: RNAcentral